Long non-coding RNA from Dalotia coriaria, 517 nucleotides. RefSeq lists it as uncharacterized. NCBI's taxonomy places the organism in Eukaryota, Metazoa, Arthropoda, Insecta, Coleoptera, Staphylinidae. The transcript is spliced from 3 exons. The record is from RefSeq and is a predicted model, not a curated record.
AAAGUUAUCGGUUGUAUUGUAGAGCUCAGCAUUUAGUUGUGUUGCACUUGUUUAAUAGUGAAGCGACAACAUAUGUUGCACUAUUAUAGUUAAUAAUUGUAAUUAUUAAAAGAUGUGGUGAUUUGUGGGCUACAAGAACAUUUAUUCCGUUGUUAAACCAGUAAAAUCUUCAAGAAUUAACAAGGAUAACUCGAUGUGGUUUGAGAAAUUUAUCGUUGAUCUCUUCCAGAGCGAUGUCCACCGCAGGGCCGCAUCGGACUAGGUCGAAAGGUGAGUCCAGAUGACCCGCCAUCAACACUCCGACGUUAUAUGCCAAUGAUAAUUCGGUAAUGCGGCGGUUUGACGCUGACUUCAUGAAUUGCCAGUGUGUUGGCAGUCAGUUCCGGUAACUUCUCAGUGGAUUUGAUGAAAUGGAAUCCUGUGAAUGGCUUCACAUCAGGAUUAUUCGGCAGUGGGACUAGUUGAGUAUCAAGGUAAGCUGCAGUUAAAUGCAUUACAAUCUAUAAACAUUUAAAAA